This 78-nucleotide transfer RNA is filed under the name Microcaldota archaeon. RNAcentral describes it as "tRNA-Ile". It matches the Rfam family "tRNA". Rfam says of the family: Transfer RNA (tRNA) molecules are approximately 80 nucleotides in length. Their secondary structure includes four short double-helical elements and three loops (D, anti-codon, and T loops). The record is from RNAcentral. Lineage: Archaea; Nanobdellati; Microcaldota.
GGGCCGAUAGCUUAGCCUGGUUGGAGCGCCCGACUGAUAAUCGGGAGGUCGUGAGUUCAAAUCUCAUUCGGCCCACCA